This 301-nucleotide ribosomal RNA is filed under the name uncultured bacterium. RNAcentral's name for it is "partial 16S ribosomal RNA". It matches the Rfam family "Bacterial small subunit ribosomal RNA", at positions 509 to 807 of the family's 1533-position model. The record is from RNAcentral.
CAGCCGCCACGGUAAUACGUAGGUGGCAAGCGUUGUCCGGAAUUAUUGGGCGUAAAGCGCGCGCAGGUGGUUUAAUAAGUCUGACGUGAAAGCCCACGGCUCAACCGUGGAGGGUCAUUGGAAACUGUUAAACUUGAGUGCAGGAGAGAAAAGUGGAAUUCCUAGUGUAGCGGUGAAAUGCGUAGAGAUUAGGAGGAACACCAGUGGCGAAGGCGGCUUUUUGGCCUGUAACUGACACUGAGGCGCGAGAGCGUGGGGAGCAAACAGGAUUAGAUACCCCUGUAGUCCCUGUCUCUUAUAC